RNAcentral lists this unclassified non-coding RNA (771 nucleotides) under Athelia sp. TMB. The record is from RNAcentral. Lineage: Eukaryota; Fungi; Basidiomycota; Agaricomycetes; Atheliales; Atheliaceae.
GAACGCCUCUAAGUCAGAAUCCGUGCUAGAAACGACGAUGUUGGUCCCGCACAUGUCAAUUGAGUUGAGAUAGAGCUUUGCUCGUGAACCAAAUCAGGUGGACUCGGCCGUCUUUGCGGAAAUGCUUUGGCGGUUCGUUCACGAAUUGUAAUCGUUAUAUGGGCGGGGGUGAAUCCUUUGCAGACGACUUGAAUGGGAACGGGGUACUGUAAGCGGUAGAGUAGCCUUGUUGCUACGAUCCGCUGAGGUUAAGCCCUUGUUCUAAAGAUUUGUUCGACUUUUCGGUCGGAUUUCUUCUUUCUUUUUUUCCAUGCCUCGUACUUCAGGGCCGGUCCAGUGGGACUUGAGCGCGGACAAGGCAUGCAGAGAGAAUGAAUGAAUCUGACCGUCAUGAAUCAAGAACAAAGGUUGGGGGAUCAAAAACAAUCAGUUGGGGUCGCGUUUUUUGUGUAUAUUGAGCAACACUGAUGACUUGGAUGGACUUGACCGAGUUUUGAAGGGCCAGCAAAUUAGUGACCGCAUUUUUGAAGGGUCAGAAAAUUAGUGACCGCACUUUUGAAGGGUCAGCAAAUUAGUGUCCGCAUUUUGAAGGAUCAAUGGACUUGAAUGAUGUUUCAUUGACAAGGGCAAUGGAUUGGUGACCGGGUUUUCAAGGGUCAAUAAACUUGAAUGGUAUUUAGGGAUCAAUGAAGUUGACCGCUUUUUGUGACAUGUCAGUGGUAACAAAAGGUGCACACAGUUGUUACAUUUAUCCACGGCCAUAGGACUCUG